GAGGCAAUAACAGGUCUGUGAUGCCCUUAGAUGUCCUGGGCCGCACGCGCGCUACACUGAUGCAGACAAUGGGCAUUCACCUAUUCCGAGAGGGCUGGGUAAUCCUGUGAGGCUGCAUCGUGCUGGGGAUCGAGCACUGGAACUGUGCUCGUGAACAUGGAAUGCCUUGUAAUCGUGAGUCAUCAACUCACGAUGAAUACGUCCCUGCCCUUUGUACACACCGCCCGUCGUUAUUUCCGAUCGAAUGGCUCGGUGAGGCGGUAGGAGCUUCGCGCGCGCCGGCUUGCUGGUCGCGAUGCGAGGCAAACACCUUCGAACUCGGUCAUUUAGAGGAAGU
RNAcentral lists this ribosomal RNA (337 nucleotides) under Tulasnellaceae sp. CBS 482.93. RNAcentral describes it as "SSU rRNA". It matches the Rfam family "Eukaryotic small subunit ribosomal RNA", at positions 1447 to 1783 of the family's 1831-position model. RNAcentral also lists the same sequence under 1 other name. Lineage: Eukaryota; Fungi; Basidiomycota; Agaricomycetes; Cantharellales; Tulasnellaceae. The record is from RNAcentral.